UGGGGAAUUUUGGACAAUGGGGGAAACCCUGAUCCAGCCAUCCCGCGUGUGCGAUGAAGGCCUUCGGGUUGUAAAGCACUUUUGGCAGGAAAGAAACGUCAUGGGUUAAUACUCUGUGAAACUGACGGUACCUGCAGAAUAAGCACCGGCUAACUACGUGCCAGCAGCCGCGGUAAUACGUAGGGUGCAAGCGUUAAUCGGAAUUACUGGGCGUAAAGCGUGCGCAGGCGGUUCGGAAAGAAAGAUGUGAAAUCCCAGAGCUCAACUUUGGAACUGCAUUUUUAACUACCGGGCUAGAGUGUGUCAGAGGGAGGUGGAAUUCCGCGUGUAGCAGUGAAAUGCGUAGAUAUGCGGAGGAACACCAAUGGCGAAGGCAGCCUCCUGGGAUAACACUGACGCUCAUGCACGAAAGCGUGGGGAGCAAACAGG
Molecule: ribosomal RNA, 429 nt
Filed under: Acidobacteriota bacterium
Lineage: Bacteria; Pseudomonadati; Acidobacteriota
Description: Acidobacteria bacterium partial 16S ribosomal RNA
Rfam family: Bacterial small subunit ribosomal RNA
Source: RNAcentral